AGCUUACCACUAACUCAGUUGCAACAUUAUAUCCUGUUUACAGAAUUAAUAGCCUCCAACCCCCCAAAAAGAUUAAAUCUGACAAAUAUAAAGCUACUUUAAAUUGUGAUACACUGACAAAAAAAAAAGAUGUUUUUUUUCAUCCAAACAUUUAUAAUCUUAUCCUCAGAAUCAGAACAUCACGGCGGAUGUCCUGCGCCAACUUCUGGAGUCCAGGGUGUCGGAGCACAUGGAGGACUGUCUUCACAACCCUGUUUUCUCUGUUGCUCCAAACACAGACAGCAGCUCUCCCAACCUGAUGAUUAGCUGCCAGGUUUGUGACUACCUGUCCAUUGUCCUGUGAAAGAUGCUGCUCCUGCCAUGAGUGUACUCACUCACAAGCUAUGAAUGAGAGUUUUUAUGUUGAUUAAAUAAAGGCUAUUUUUUUUUUUAUAUUUAAUGAGUGGAUGGUUUAAUCAUCAUGUAUACUUCCAUCCCUUACUACUAUUUCAUACCAAUGGUCCUAUUUAAGUGUUGAUCAAGAUGUGCCAGUGUCUUUUUAGUAUCACCAAGUUGCUUUAUUAAAACUUGUGCAAUAAAGUCAAGUUUAAGAAUUGGAA
Non-coding RNA from Labrus bergylta (ballan wrasse), 599 nucleotides. NCBI's taxonomy places the organism in Eukaryota, Metazoa, Chordata, Actinopteri, Labriformes, Labridae. The record is from RefSeq and is a predicted model, not a curated record.